Molecule: long non-coding RNA, 1293 nt
Filed under: Fragaria vesca (wild strawberry)
Lineage: Eukaryota; Viridiplantae; Streptophyta; Magnoliopsida; Rosales; Rosaceae
Description: long non-coding RNA (FVES_LNC001305)
Source: RNAcentral
UCGACCAACUCAAAUGUGGUUAUGAGAUUAUUCAAUCUAGUGGUCAUCACCACCAUCUGCUUCGUCUUGAUUUUCAUCUCCAUUAUCAUCGAGCAUUUGCUUCAUGUCUUAGCCAAGGUGAGCUACACUUCAAUUCCUCUCUUCUUAUUACACAGCAGCAUUAGUAUUUGCAUCACUAUAUGAGUCUGAUAAAUGAUCACCUCUUUUUUAUUAAUCAUCCUCCUCUUGGAUCUCUUUGCAGUAUUUCAACAAGAUAAGGAGGAAGUCACUCAUUCUCGCUCUUGACAAGAUCAAAAAAGUAAUUAACUAUGCGAUUAGCUAGAACUGAUCCAGAUUUCUAGCUAAUCCAGAUUUGAUGUAAUACGUUGUUUUGUUUUGCAAAUUUUUAGUUUAGAAAUCAUAAUAUAGUGAUUUUUGAACAUAAAGUAUAUUUUAACAUGAUUAUUGGGUCAGUUGCAGAUUACUGGGCGACAGUAACUCAAUUACUGAGGGUCAGUAAUCGAUUACUGAGCGUUAGUAAUCGAUUACUGGGCGUCAGUAACUCUAUUACUGGGGUCAGUAAUCGAUUACUGAGGGCCAGUAACUCGAGUUACUGGGGGUCAGUAAUUGUGUUACCCGGGGCCAAUAGCCUUUUAGGGAAUCAUUACUCAAUUACUAGGGGUCAGUAACCGAGUUUACAGUGACCGGAAUGCGGCGAUGGGAGAAAUAAGUUGAUUAUUGGGGGUCAGUAAUUAAGUUAUUGGGGGUCAAUAACUCGAUUAUUAGGGGUUAGUAACUUAAUAAGGUGAUUACUGGGGGUCAGUAACCCGAUUAUUGGGGGGCAGAAAUCCGACGACAAUGACCAGAGAAAGUCCGGCGACGGUGAUCAAAGAAAAUCCAGCGAUGAGAUUCCGGUGACCGGAGUCCCGCGACCGGUGACCGGAGGCUCCGGCAAAGUCUUCCCUCUUUUAUAUUUUUUCUCUCUCUGAGUGUAUAUAAGGGAUAAGGGUAAAAAUGUCUCAAAAAUAUUUUUUUAUUAUAAAUUUAAUAAAGAUUUGUGUAUUUGGGCACAAAUAAGAACAUCUUAUAUUGAAAUGGGCUCAUGUUUAUUAGAUUCAUUGAAAUGGGCAAUAAAUAAUUUAAAUUAGUACUAAAUGGACAUUUUCCUUUUCCUUUAUUCAUUCUCACAAAAAGGAAAACAUUUUUAUUCCAUAUCAAAUGAGAAAAUUGUAUGAAGAAUACAAUUUAUAUCUAUACUAAUCCAAAUAAUUAAGAAAAAAUAUUAUUCAUAAGGGCCAAAAAAGUUUAUAUAAA